This 845-nucleotide ribosomal RNA is filed under the name uncultured bacterium. Its description in RNAcentral is "bacterial SSU rRNA". It matches the Rfam family "Bacterial small subunit ribosomal RNA", at positions 28 to 896 of the family's 1533-position model. The record is from RNAcentral.
GAUAAACGCUGGCGGCGUGCCUUAUGCAUGCAAGUCGAACGCUUCACCGCAAGGUGGAGAGUGGCAAACGGGUGUGUAAUAUGUAAGUAACCUGCCCUUAAGUGGGGAACAACUCUGAGAAAUCGGGGCUAAUACCGCGUGUGAUUCUUGAUCGCAAGGUUGAGAAUUAAAGCCUUCGGGCGCUUGAGGAGGGGCUUGCAUCCUAUCAGGUAGUUGGUGAGGUAACGGCCCACCAAGCCGAUGACGGGUAGCUGGUCUGAGAGGAUGGUCAGCCACACUGGGACUGCGACACGGCCCAGACUCCUACGGGAGGCAGCAGCAAGGAAUAUUGUGCAAUGGGCGAAAGCCUGACACAGCGACGCCGCGUGAGGGAUGAAGGCCUUCGGGUUGUAAACCUCUUUUCUCAGGGAGGAGUAAGGACAGUACCUGAGGAAUAAGCCACGGCUAACUACGUGCCAGCAGCUGCGGUAAAACGUAGGUGGCGAGCGUUAUCCGGAUUUAUUGGGCGUAAAGAGGGCGCAGGCGGCCUGGUAAGUCGAAUGUGAAAUCUCCCGGCUUAACUGGGAGGGGUCAUUCGAUACUAUCAAGCUGGAGUGCGACAGGGGGAGGUAGAAUUCCCGGUGUAGUGGUGAAAUGCGUAGAUAUCGGGAGGAAUACCAGUGGCGAAGGCGGCCUCCUGGGUCGUUACUGACGCUUAAGCCCGAAGGCGUGGGGAGCAAACAGGAUCAGAUACCCUGGUAGUCCACGCUGUAAACUAUGGACACUGGGUAUGGGGAGUAUCGACCCUCUCCGUGCCGAAGUUAACGCGUUAAGUGUCCCGUCUGGGAACUACGGCCGCAAGGCUA